This 190-nucleotide unclassified non-coding RNA is filed under the name uncultured fungus. RNAcentral's name for it is "sequence contains ITS1". Lineage: Eukaryota; Fungi. The record is from RNAcentral.
CCGAUUCUAAAGGAUGUGCUGGCCUCACAAGGCAAAAAUACAUGUGCACUCCGAAACCUCUUACCCCUGUGCAUCCAUUGUAGUCCAGCAUCAAGGAAGAGUUUAAUUCUUCUGCUGUGACUAUGUUUUUAUACACUCUUAGAAUUUUAUAGAAUGUCCAUAGACCCUAACAAGUCUAAUAAACAUAAUA